GGCUCGUUGGUUUAGGUGUAUGAUUCUCGCUUUGGGUGCGAGAGGUCCUGGGUUCAAAUCCCGGAUGAGCCC
RNAcentral lists this transfer RNA (72 nucleotides) under Danionella translucida. It matches the Rfam family "tRNA". Rfam says of the family: Transfer RNA (tRNA) molecules are approximately 80 nucleotides in length. Their secondary structure includes four short double-helical elements and three loops (D, anti-codon, and T loops). Lineage: Eukaryota; Metazoa; Chordata; Actinopteri; Cypriniformes; Danionidae. The record is from Rfam by way of RNAcentral. RNAcentral also lists the same sequence under 1 other name.